GACGAACGCUGGCGGCGUGCCUAAUACAUGCAAGUCGAACGCAGUGGGGACGGGUGAUGAACACGUGGGUAACCUCCCAUCAGAGGGGAUAACACUUGGAAACAGGUGCUAAACCGAUACUGAUGGAUGGACACGCGGUGGAGUAGCUAGUUGGUGAGGUAACGGCUCACCAAGGCCGCGAUGCAUAGCGGGCCGGAGAGGGUGAGCGGCCACACUGGGACUGCGACACGGCCCAGACUCCUACGGGAGGCAGCAGUAGGGAAUCUUCGGCCAUGGACGAAAGUCUGACCGAGCCACGCCGCGUGAGUGAAGAAGGUUUUCGGAUCGUAAAACUCUGUUGUUAGAGAAGCGGUAUCUAACCAGAAAGCCACGGCUAACUACGUGCCAGCAGCCGCGGUAAUUC
This 403-nucleotide ribosomal RNA is filed under the name uncultured bacterium. RNAcentral describes it as "partial 16S ribosomal RNA". It matches the Rfam family "Bacterial small subunit ribosomal RNA", at positions 28 to 526 of the family's 1533-position model. The record is from RNAcentral.